This is a long non-coding RNA of Syzygium oleosum, 797 nucleotides long. RefSeq lists it as uncharacterized. The transcript is spliced from 2 exons. Lineage: Eukaryota; Viridiplantae; Streptophyta; Magnoliopsida; Myrtales; Myrtaceae. The record is from RefSeq and is a predicted model, not a curated record.
CAUCCAAGAAAAAUAUUGAGUCGUCUGCAAACAGUAGGUGAGGCUAUUUAUUUGAUUAGCAUCAGAAGCAACGAUUACCUAGAUGCCGAUUUAUCGCAAUCUCACUCUGUUUGAGUCCUAUUCAAUGGAAGAUUAUGUAGGGAUGGUGAUUGGAAACAUCACCAAUUCACCAGCUUGCUCAAGGAUAUUUAUGAAAUUGAAGGGAGGAAAUUUGGAAUGAUUGGGAUGCGAAAUAUUUGAUGUAUUCCAUCCACGAGACAAUCAACCGGGAAUGGUUCUUACUCGAGCAUUGCCAAUGAGCUCGCAAAGCUUCACAACAGAACUCUCAUAUAAAUUCUCACGAAGCUGGAGACUCAACUACAAGGAUUCAAGUGCUCCUACUUUGACUUCUACACUUCAGCCCGGGAUAGAAUCCGAAACCCAUCGAAACAUGGUCAGUAAUACAAGUCUUUCUGACCUUCAUUAUGCUUACAUAUUUAUACAGACAGUGAAAAGUCGAGGGAUCUUUUCUUCUAAAAUUAAUUUCAGGGUUCAGGGAGGCGAAAAUGGCAUGCCGUGGUUCGGGCCCGUAUAAGGCGAAUCCAAGUUGCAGAGGCAAGAGAUGAGUGAAAGAAUAUUCAUUGUGCCGUCGUCCCGAAAGGUUCUUAUUCUUCGAUAACCAACCGACCGAAAGGGCCAAUAACUAGUUUGCCCAAUUGAUGUGGAACGAAAGUUCAAGUAUCAUUGGGCCUUGUAAUAUAAAAGCAUUGAUCGAAAUUGGGCAAAAAUUAGAGAAAAUGACACAAAUGUUCUUUAAA